GGAUGAUGCGGUAGAGGAGCGUUCUGUAAGCCUGUGAAGGUGAGUUGAGAAGCUUGCUGGAGGUAUCAGAAGUGCGAAUGCUGACAUGAGUAACGACAAUGGGUGUGAAAAACACCCACGCCGAAAGACCAAGGUUUCCUGCGCAACGUUAAUCGACGCAGGGUUAGUCGGUCCCUAAGGCGAGGCUGAAAAGCGUAGUCGAUGGAAAACAGGUUAAUAUUCCUGUACUUCUGGUUAUUGCGAUGGAGGGACGGAGAAGGCUAGGCCAGCUUGGCGUUGGUUGUCCAAGUUUAAGGUGGUAGGCUGGAAUCUUAGGUAAAUCCGGGAUUCUAAGGCCGAGAGCUGAUGACGAGUCAUCUUUUAGAUGACGAAGUGGUUGAUGCCAUGCUUCCAAGAAAAGCUUCUAAGCUUCAGGUAACCAGGAACCGUACCCCAAACCGACACAGGUGGUUGGGUAGAGAAUACCAAGGCGCUUGAGAGAACUCGGGUGAAGGAACUAGGCAAAAUGGCACCGUAACUUCGGGAGAAGGUGCGCCGGUGAGGGUGAAGGACUUGCUCCGUAAGCUCAUGCCGGUCGAAGAUACCAGGCCGCUGCGACUGUUUAUUAAAAACACAGCACUCUGCAAACACGAAAGUGGACGUAUAGGGUGUGACGCCUGCCCGGUGCCGGAAGGUUAAUUGAUGGGGUUAGCUAACGCGAAGCUCUUGAUCGAAGCCCCGGUAAACGGCGGCCGUAACUAUAACGGUCCUAAGGUAGCGAAAUUCCUUGUCGGGUAAGUUCCGACCUGCACGAAUGGCGUAACGAUGGCGGCGCUGUCUCCACCCGAGACUCAGUGAAAUUGAAAUCGCUGUGAAGAUGCAGUGUAUCCGCGGCUAGACGGAAAGACCCCGUGAACCUUUACUAUAGCUUUGCACUGGACUUUGAAUUUGCUUGUGUAGGAUAGGUGGGAGGCUUUGAAGCGUGGACGCCAGUUCGCGUGGAGCCAACCUUGAAAUACCACCCUGGCAACUUUGAGGUUCUAACUCAGGUCCGUUAUCCGGAUCGAGGACAGUGUAUGGUGGGUAGUUUGACUGGGGCGGUCUCCUCCUAAAGAGUAACGGAGGAGUACGAAGGUGCGCUCAGACCGGUCGGAAAUCGGUCGUAGAGUAUAAAGGCAAAAGCGCGCUUGACUGCGAGACAGACACGUCGAGCAGGUACGAAAGUAGGUCUUAGUGAUCCGGUGGUUCUGUAUGGAAGGGCCAUCGCUCAACGGAUAAAAGGUACUCCGGGGAUAACAGGCUGAUACCGCCCAAGAGUUCAUAUCGACGGCGGUGUUUGGCACCUCGAUGUCGGCUCAUCACAUCCUGGGGCUGAAGCCGGUCCCAAGGGUAUGGCUGUUCGCCAUUUAAAGUGGUACGCGAGCUGGGUUUAGAACGUCGUGAGACAGUUCGGUCCCUAUCUGCCGUGGACGUUUGAGAUUUGAGAGGGGCUGCUCCUAGUACGAGAGGACCGGAGUGGACGAACCUCUGGUGUUCCGGUUGUCACGCCAGUGGCAUUGCCGGGUAGCUAUGUUCGGAAUAGAUAACCGCUGAAAGCAUCUAAGCGGGAAACUAGCCUCAAGAUGAGAUCUCACUGGAACCUUGAGUUCCCU
Molecule: ribosomal RNA, 1631 nt
Filed under: Pseudomonas sp. MF6784
Lineage: Bacteria; Pseudomonadati; Pseudomonadota; Gammaproteobacteria; Pseudomonadales; Pseudomonadaceae
Description: partial 23S ribosomal RNA
Rfam family: Bacterial large subunit ribosomal RNA
Source: RNAcentral